RNAcentral lists this long non-coding RNA (9826 nucleotides) under Citrus maxima (pomelo). RNAcentral describes it as "long non-coding RNA (CMAX_LNC001489)". The record is from RNAcentral. Lineage: Eukaryota; Viridiplantae; Streptophyta; Magnoliopsida; Sapindales; Rutaceae.
CUGCCAAAGCCAUGUUUAUUUCUUUGGGCGGCUGCCAAAGCCAAUUUGAUUUUGGCUAGGCCACCACCGGCUUUGACAUUGACUAGUAUCAUCUUCCUCGAUGGUACACUAGAACGCAUUCUCCAUUGCUAUUUAUUCAAAUGCACUAACCUGGGCUUCUUUUGCAUUGUGUUUAAACUAGUCCCAUUUUAAGGGGUUUUUUUUUUCUCCUCUCUAUUCUUUUCCCUAUUUCAGGUAAUAACAAGUGAAUUAGUUAUUCCGCCGUUGUUGUUCCUUUUGAUAUAUUCUUUCACAUGGGGUUGUUCAUUUUUCUUGUUUCUUGUUCUUUUUGGAACUUCCAUUGAAGCAAGUAAAGUCAUUUUACUUAUAAGCUGCUGCAAGCUGUUAAAAAAGAUGGCAAUUAAUUAGUUUCUCAUUUUCUUGUUGAUGAAGCCUGUAUAUGAAUAAAUUACGCGCUAGCUUGUCAUUUUGUUAUUAAAACCUUUAUAUGGCAUGUUCUGCUUUCUGUUUUCUAUUUUUUUUUUGUGAGAAAAUUUUCUAAAUACUUAAUUUUUCUUUUUCCCCUGAAUAUCUACAGAAUGAUUGCUAGAACAACGAUGGGCCAAUGGUUCAAUCUUUUAGUAUGUGCACUCUUAAUACUGAAAGCUCAAGCAUGCUUUAAUGUAUCAAUCACCUAUGUUGAAGAUGCUGUAGCGAAAGGAGCUGGUGGGGAUUAGUACAUAUUUAUAUUGAUGCUUCAUUUUGUGAUUUUCCGUUACUGCGUACUGUAGUUUGUUAGCUGUUUAAUAUGUUUUGCAGUCUGUUUGGAUGGCAGCCCACCUGCUUACCAUUUUGAUAAGGGGUUUGGUGCCGGGAUCAAUAAUUGGUUGGUGCACAUUGAUGUAAUGUCCUCCUCUAUGUAAAAACAUUUCUUAUAUUCACUGCAACUUUAAAUGAUAUGGAUGAAGAGUAAUCAGUCUUACAUAUUAUAGUCAUAAGAAUUCUGGUGAUGUUUACAUUUACCAUUCAUGCUUGUAUUCAUCAUAUACUUUUUUGUUGAUUCAAUUUGCCUUUGGCUUCGGGUUCUUAGGGAGGAGCAUGGUGUAACAAUGUCGCAGAUUGUUCUAACCGAAGGGAUUCCUCACAUGGUUCAUCUAAGUAUAUGGUGAAGGAAGCUAAUUUUACUGGGAUACUAAGUAAUGAGCAGAAAUUUAACCCAGGUAUGACCUUUUUGUGUCGCUUAUUGAUUUGAUUGAUGCAAAUCAAUAAAUUCCCCUUUCCAUUUCUAGACUUCUACGAUUGGAAUAGAGUCAAGGUUAGAUACUGCGAUGGGGCAUCGUUUACUGGAGACGUAGAGGCUGUCAAUCCAGUAAGUUAACUUUUGCCAAAAUUUUCUUAUAUACAUAUUCUUGGGUUCUCUCGUGUGAUAUUUAGUUAGUGAUUUGAUCAGGAAACUAACCUUCACUUCAGAGGAGCAAGGGUUUUUGAAGCUGUCAUGGAGGAUCUAUUGGCUAAAGGAAUGAAAAAUGCUCAAAAUGUAAGAUCAUUCUGUUUUUGUUUUUAAAAAUAUGUUCAUUAGAUUGAUAUGUUUGAUAACUCAUUCGCACUUAUGACAGGCUAUACUUACUGGUUGUUCCGCUGGGGGUUUGACUUCGAUUUUGCAUUGCGAUAACUUCCGAGCUCUCUUUCCCGUUGAUACUAGAGUAAAAUGCUUUGCAGAUGCUGGCUAUUUUGUGAAUGUGUAAGCUCCUGUUCUUUCAUCAACCAUGAUGUGGCAGUUGCUUCAGUUGUUUUUCUUUUCCGAAAUCUGAUUCCCUGGUGUAUUUUUCAAUAGGAAGGAUGUUUCUGGAGCAAGUCACAUUGAGGAGUUUUAUAAACAAGUGGUCGCAUUACAUGUACACACUCUGUCUCUCAUCCUCUUUCAUGCUUACCGACACAAAAUAAUGUUGUUACAUCUUGUGUAGGGAUCGGCUAAGCAUUUGCCAGCAUCCUGCACUUCGAGAUUAAGUCCAGGAUUGGUGAGUUCCACCAUUUUAAUGUUUCUACGUUCUAGUCUUCAUCCAUUCGUUUAUGGACUGACCGAUUCCUUUUAAAAUGACAGUGUUUCUUCCCACAAAACGUAGCAGGGCAAGUCAAGACACCGCUAUUUAUCAUCAACUCAGCUUAUGAUUCAUGGCAGGUUAGCAUAGUUCUUCAAUGUCUAAGAUCCAAUGACAGAAAAUGUGAUACAUAAGCUUAGUGCAAGAAGAUAAUUUUUUGUACUUAAGUGACAUAUCAAGUGAAGCUUGAUUCUUGGGCCUUCUUGCACAAGCAAAAAGAGACUGGUGGAAGAUUGGCACAUUUUUGAUAUGUUAUAUUCGAAGCCACUGAAUAAUUUCAAUAAAUUAUGUGCAAUUUCAAUCUGGUAAUAUUGUUACAAGCGGAAAAUGGCGUGCACAGAUAAGGAACAUUUUGGUUCCGGACAAUGCUGAUCCGAAAGGAACUUGGAGGCGCUGCAAGAAGGAUAUAAAAAUGUGCUCAUCUACUCAGCUGCAAACUAUGCAAGGUAAUUCCCCAAAGCCCCGGAUUACUGCUUUCCACAAAAGACCUUUUUCAUUUUAUUGUUGAUAAUUCAAAGUGUCAAUUCUCGUUGUAUACUUUUCAGGUUUUAGGGUGCAAUUCCUGAAUGCAUUGGCCGGACUUGGCAACUCUUCAUCCAGAGGAAUGCUUAUAGACUCUUGUUAUACUCACUGCCGAACCGUGUUUCAGGAGGCUUGGUUGAGUGCUGACUCUCCGGUGCUGGAUAAAACGGUACGAGUUAUGAUUUCAUCGUUUUGACUUGUUUCCUUUAACAUCUUGAAGUACCAUUGAUUCCCAUUUUUAAGGAUUGAAAAUAUGUUCUACGCAGCCUAUUGCAAAGGCAGUGGGAGACUGGUAUUACGACAGGAAUCCAUUCCAAAAGAUUGAUUGCCCUUACCCCUGCAACCCAUUGCCAGAGAGUUGCUUUUGAAUGGACCUAUUAAUGUAAUGUACACACACAUAAAAUUACAGACCUUGUGUCAAAGCAGAACAAAAUGUAAGAGUCAAGAUCAUUGAGUAGUCAUCAAUGAGCUUGACUGAGUAAGAAUAAAAUGGAUAAAGAGUAUAUGAUUGAUUGAUCAAGUCAAUGAAAUAAUUAAACAGAGGCAACCACCGCACUCAACUUAUGUGCUGGGUGUCUUCUAUCAUUUUCUUAUGUAAUUUAUUUUUCUUAUGUAAUUUAUUGUUGUAACUUCAGUGAAAUAAAUAUUCCAUUUCUUGUUGUUGGAUUGUUGGCAGUAGACGAUCAAUUAUUUAGGAAUCAUUUUGUUUAAUUUUAGUAAUGUCCUAAGACCAUCCUUUUUCCUUUUAACCUUUCACAGUGUGAACUAGUGUGUAUGCAUAGUUAUUUUUUGCUGCAUAAAUAACCAAGUUUAAUUAAAGCUAAUAUUAUAAAAAUAAAAUGCUCUUGCGUCUUGGCACCUUUUUUUCCCCCCUUAAAAUAAUACACUAAAUUACUUAAAUUUUUUAAAAUUAACUACUCUAAUUUUUUUUAUAAUUUCAGAAGUAUUUUAUGCAAUCAAUAAAAUAAGGGAAAUUAUCAUUGCACUACCUUCCUUUUACCUUAUGAUCAUUUAACCACCACAAAAUUUUAACAUGUUCUUUGCACCACCUUUCUUUUUAAAUUUAUAUCAAUUAGCCACUUUUGCACUAACACCGUUGAAUAAUUUAAAUGAAAUGACAAUCCAGAAAUUAUAUAAAACGGUAUUUUAAUUUAAUUAGGGGUAAAUUUGUUAUUUUGUUUAAAUUAUUCAACGGUGUUAGUGCAAAAGUGGCUAAUUGAUACAAAUUUAAAAAAAAAAAAGUGAUGCAAAGAACAUGUUAAAAUUUUAUGGUAUUUAAAUGAACAUAAGGUAAAAGGAAGGUGGUGCAAUGAUAAUUUCACCUAAAAAAAUAGUAUUUUUUUUUGGAAAAAAACAAAGAAUAUUUUUUGAACAAAAAAAUUCACCAAUUUGAAGUUCAUAUCAAAAUAACACUAAAAGUUCACUCUUCAUGUCUUUAAGAACGUAGAUUAAUUAUAUUACACUACAACAUUUUAGUUCAUACUCCCAAAUAUCCCCAAAAAAAAAUGUGACAGACAUCUAUCCAUACCUUAAAUUUCAUCUUAAAUGAUGUGUCAUUCAAUAAAUUAUUUUUUUAUAAUAUUUAAAAAAUUAAUUUUUUAUAAUAAAAAAAUCUUUUAGUAAUUAAAAAGAAAAUACCAAGAAACUCCAGCUCUUGACAUGAGAUAUUAAAAAAAAAUUAUAAUGUGCCGUCAAGAUACAUAUCUUAGUAAUGGCGUGAUAUCAUUUGUAGAAGGCCCAAAUUUGAAGACGGUCCGUCCUUGGCCCACCCCACAAUUUCACCAUUGCAUACUUACAUUGACAAUAAAUACUCUUCUCUCGGGGUUUUUAAUUAAAGAUGCCCUAAAAAUGAGGUAUUUAGUUAAAUAUAUCUCAUGGUUGAAAAUUAUUUAUAUAUACUUUUUUAUGUGGUACAUUAUCUAAAAUGCCUCUAAAGAAAAAUAUAAAACACGUAAUUAAAGAUGCUCUAAAAAUGGGGUAUUUAGUUAAAUACCAACUGUAAUAGUCUAUUUAGGCUAAGCAUUCCUUAAAUUAUAUGAUCCUCAUAUUAUAUCACAUAAAUUGUACAAAACUAUCUUGUUGUCUUUGAAUAUUACACUUAACAAAAAAUAAUUUAACACUACUAGUUAGAAAUACCUAACUAUAAUCUUGUGUCUAUGAAAAUAUUCAACUAUAGUCGUGUACCUAUAAAAAUACCUGACUGUAUUAAUGUAUUUUAGCCAGUCAUUCCUUCAAUAUAUAUGAACACCCUGAUCUAUAACAGACAUUAUACAAAAUUAUCUUCUUUCUCAAUAAUAUACUUAAGCAAAAAAAAAACAUGAAUACUGAUGUAAAAUCAUCUUUAAUGAUAUCAAAUGUCAAUGACAUUCCCAUUGCAACUAUUAUAUCUCAUGUUAAUUAAUCCAAAAAAUGGCAAAAUCACAACAAUGAAGUUUUUAAGGAUACGACACUAUGUAGUUGGUUUCAACGACCUGUGUCCAAAUAAUUUGAUAGCCAAUGCUUUUCGAAAUUAUGACACUAUGUAGUUGGUUUCAACGACCUGUGUCCAAAUAAUUUGAUAGCCAAUGCUUUUCGAAAUUAUGUAACAUCAUCAUAUUGACAAAAUGUGUUCACGUCAAGGCCAUAGGCUAGGACCUCCAAGUACUACAACAAAAAUGCUUCACAAUAAAAUUCAUAUACAUCAAUAAUAAAAUCACCAUUCUUAUUGAAAUAUAUAUAUAUAUAUGUGUGUGUGUGUGUGUGUGUGUGUGUGUGUGUGUGUGUGUGUGUGUGUGUGUGUGUGUGUGAUAUACUCAAUUGCAUCCCCUGAUUUUAUUGCAGGAUAUUACGUACUCACAAGGAUGAUCUUUAUUUAUGUCUUCUACUGCAGGAUAUUACGUACUCACAAGGAUGAUCUUUAUUUAUGUCUUCUACUGCAUCUAGUGAUAAUCAAUUAGAAAUAUUUGCUUUGAAGUAUUUAGAUUCCUUAAUUUUCAGUUCCCAUCUGCAUAAACAUAAAAUAUUUUAAUUAUAAUAUAAAACGACCAAAAAGUUGGAUAAUAACAUAUUCUAAACCAAUAAAAAAAAUUACACGACACACCAGUCGAGUAAAGCAUUCAUAACACAACUACAGUCGAGUAAAACAUUCAUUACGCAACUAUAGCCGAGGAAAGUAUUCAUUACAUGAUUACAGCCGAGUAAAGCAUUCAUUACACGAUUACAACAAGCAUAAAAUAUGUUUUGACUUCUAUAUUUCCUUGGAUUUAAAUCAUUUCAUGAUAAUACAUAAUGCUUACAACAUAAAACUACAUAAAAGCUAAAUAUGUUUUGACUUCUAUAUCUCCUUGGAUUCAAAUCUCUGUACAGAAUUUUAAGUGGAUGACAGUAUAGAAAAGAAUUUACUUUAAUAUGGCUUGUCAACGAAUAGAGAGAAUGAAUGAAAAUUUUGUUUAUUAUAAAAAAUAUAUUGAUGGACCAUUAAAAAGCCAAAUGGUCAUUUAAUCAUUAACAUAUUAUUUGAAAUCCAUUCAAUAUGGGUAAGAAAUAAUUAGAAUUGUAAAUUGAAGGUUCCAUAGCAAAUAAUAGAGAAAACCCAGAUUGCGACAUAAUGAACGCAUACACAGCUGAAGAAAAUUAAUAUAUAAUUUCCAUGGAUGAAGUCCAACUACAAACAAUAAAUAAAAUUAAACACAUAUCUAAUAGAUAAAUCAGUGUAGCCAUAAUCGAGUAGUCACAAGGAUAAUAUUUGUUUUAUCCAAUUCCCUUUGAAUAUUUAAUUAGGAACUCCUAUAACCAUUACAAGGAGAGUAAACUCCCUUGAAAUAACUCUCUUCAAUUUCAACUCCGCAAGUUCAAGAAGCUUCAUUACAUGAAUCAUGAAGAAACAUUAUCAGCAAGCAUGCAAGUGAAACAAAUAACUCGGCCAACUACAAUAAUGACCAAAAUCACGUGGGCAAUUUAUUUUUUAAAACCCUAAUGCAUAUAACCCCAACAAUUAUGAAUCCUAAAUUCUCUUUAUGAAGUAAAAAUUAAGUGUAAAUGUGGUAAAUAAUCUUUAAUUCGGUGAAUUUCCAGCCUUCAGUUUAGUGAAUUUCCAAUGAAAGUAGUGGAUUUGUGGUGUUAGAACCAGCAGCAAAAGAAGCACAAACUUACAGCAGCAGAAGUAUCCUGGGCAUUGAAAUAUCUGUGAUUUUGAAAUAUUAGAUUUUGAAUUGGGGUAAUUCUGUAAUUGCACAUUGAGAAAUUUUAGGGUCUAGCUAUGGUACCACUGUAGUAUCAUGUGUCACUAUAGUUGGAUUCAAUGGUUGGAUUCAGCUGUGGUACCAUAGUUUUGCUCGAAAUUUUGAAUUAUGAGGAUGUAUUAGGUAAAUACCCUACUUUUGGGGUAUGGCGUGGACAAAUUCCUGCUUCUCUCUCAAUCUCAAAAACACAACCUUCGCCCUUCGGUUGCAGUUGCAGUGUUAAUGGAUUGGAGUUUUGUACACACAACUUGGGAAAAAUGGGCUUCUACCAGUGUUGGCUCUUCCGGUAAUGUACCCUCCAAGAACCCCCUCGGGCUUUUCAUUAUUUUAGUUAUUACCACGUUAGAUAUAUUAGAUUUAUAAUUUAUAUAAUAAAAGGCUGCUGAUCAUGCCAGUGCAAGAGCUAUAGAGUAAGCAGCCAUUGAUUUUUGUUUCUAAAUUUUGCUUGUAGGUGAGCCCUUGAAGGCGGCUUUGCUUAUCAACCAGGACCCCACUGGUCCCUCUCGUUUGUUAUCCACUAUGUCAGCUUCGUGCUUUUUUUUUUUUUUUAAUAUAUAUUUUAAAUACCCUUUUAUAUAUAUGUUGUUCUGUUCAUAAGCAGUGAAAUUUUGAAGCUUCGUUAUGGUUUGUGCAGUGCAGAACAAGAAAGGUAUCAAGGCCGACGCGAUUGACUUGACUGAAUUUGUUGAUUUUGUCAAACUCAAUAAACUUCAGACUGACUGCUUUGUUAUUGGACAAAAAACCAAUGCAAGCUAUUCGUGUCUCCUUUACAUUUGUGAGUGAAAUUCAAUUGUUGGACUUGAAUUUUGCGGUGAAUUAUUUAUUAUUGCUAGAGUUGCUAGUAAGUUGAUCGUAAUGGUUUUAUCAUAUUGAUGACAAUUGACGCAGACAUAGUUACCUCGAUUCAUGAGAAUAUGACAAUUUUUAUAAGAGGAAAAGAGAGAGUCGUUCUCUUAAUCAAGAAAAAUACCAUUAAAUCUAGAAUAUAAAAAUUAAUGGCUGAAAAAUUAACGUGUGCGUGAUCUAUGGUCAAAUAUUCUAAAUCCUUGAAAUUAAAAUAACUUGAAAAAUUAAUAUUGAAAAAAAAUAAAUGAAAUUGUCACUUUCGAUCACAUAAUCAAUGAAAAUCAGGAUAUAAUCAACACCUAUUUAUUUUAUUUCUAAAUUAUGACUUUUUCAUUAUUAUUCAAAGAAGGGAGUUUUUCUUUAAAAAACUCUCACCAUAAUAUAAGUGGCUUAAACCUUUUUUUGUUUUGAAAUAUAAAUUAACUUAAAAGCAAACAAGUAACAAAAUUAUCUUUUAAGAAGGCUUUAUAUAUGUAGAGGGGACUAGUCCACCUAUGUCAAUUCUUCCAAGUUAGUGAAAUUGUGUGACUUUAUUUAAUUAGAAGGAGCAACAACUUCAAUCUCUAUUUAUACGUCAUUAUCCUUUAGCUAUAUUUGUGCGACUUUAUUUAUACGUAGGGAAAUGAGUUAACAAGUUAUAUUUUCCAAGCACCAAGGUAAAUUACUCCUUAGGUCAUUAUGGUCAAUAAAUGAGUCUUCAUUUUACAAUUAAUAAAUGUAUAAAAUAUUUGAACUAAUUAAUAGUAUAGUAUUAUAUAUGUUAAAUUCUUCAAAAAGUAAGAUAGAAUGUAUACUUGAUAAUUUCGUUCUACUAAUUUAAGUUAAGUUUAUUGAGUAUUCCAGUUAUUUUAAGCUAAAAUGGACAUUUUCAUAAUUUUAUCACAUAAUCAAACGAAUAAGUGUAUAUUUUAAGAUGGUAAAGAUAGUCAAUAGGUAAACUUAAAGGAAAAACUAAUGGCAAGGUUGGUUUAAUGAGUUUUCAAAAUAUUGGUGGUGGAAUAACGAUAAUUAAUUUAUUUAGGUGUGCAAUUGAAUUUUGAUAUGUACUAGUGGUGCAAAAAAAUAAUAAAUUCAAGUUGAGUCAAAGGCAUGGUAAGAACGCAGACUCUCCAAAGCCCACGACAUAGAUUAUCUAAUGAUUUUUUUAAUUUAUAAAAUUAAAAAAAGAGUUAAUGUUGACUUCGUUUUACCCCAAAAAAAAAAAAAAAGUAUGACACUAUUAGGCAUCAAUUUCAAAAUAACGCGGUUUGAUCAACUCCAAUUUAUGAUGUUAUUAUCAAAUGAUAAAAUUUUCUAAUUUUUAGAAGUCGUUUCUUAUCAAAUAAUCAGGGAUUGAAAUAAAUAGCAUAAAAUAACAAAAAUAAGAAAGUUAAGUUGAUGUCCACUGAUUUGUGUAAGUAAAAAGUUUGACUCUUAAAAAGACAUUAAUUUCAUGAGAGACAAUAACGCCAUUUUGAUCCUCUCUAUAAUUAAUGAUGUUAUUUUCAAAUAACAAAAUUAUCUAGCUUUUGGAAAUCUUGGAGAGAAACUAAUUUGGUCGGUUUCUUGAUUAAUGAUUUGAUGGUCAUCGAAUAAUGCAUGACUUGGAAAGAUCUUCCCCCGUUCUUCAAGUUAUUAUUUGACUUUGUUAGUAAAAGGCCUAUCAGAAAGGUUUUUAAAUUCUGGUCUUCUGAGAUUAAAUUAAGUCACAGUUUAAGUUAUCUCAAGAAUAUGGGUUUGGUCAAAUUUUUCUCAGUUAUCUCAAUAUUGUUGCUAAUUCAUUGGCUAAUCAAAGACACAGUUGCAAAAAUUCCUCUUGGAGAAAAUUGAGGAAAAUCUUCUUGAAGAUGGCUAAAUUAUAAAAAGAUAGUACAUGGUGGCCGGACGGAUUAUAAAUUAAGUAAAUAUAUCUAACUUCGUUAAAAUUAAAGCUUCAUAAGACAUAACUAAUGCUCUGUAUGAUUUUAUUAUUGGCUUCCGAAAUUGCACGAUGGGACAGUUGAAAGCAUUUUCCAUUUACUACUUCUUCGAAUUGACUAGUAUCAUCUUCCACGAUGGUACAGUAGAACGCAUUCUCCAUUGCUAUUUAUUCAAAUGCACUAACCUGGCCUUCUUUUGCAUUGUGUUUAAACUAGUCCCAUUUUAAGGGUUUUUUUUUUUUCUCCUCUCUAUUCUUUUCCC